GAACGCUGGCGGCGUGCUACUACAUGCAUAAGUCGAACGCUUUUCUUUCAUCGAGACUUGUCUCACCGAAAGAAAAGAGUGGCGGACGGGUGAGUAACACGUGGGUAACCUGCCCUCAAGCGGGGGAUAACACUUGGAAACAGGUGCUAAUACCGCAUAACAAUCAGAAUCGCAUGAUUUUGAUUUAAAAGGCGCUUUUGCGUCACUUGAGGAUGGACCCGCGGUGCAUUAGCUAGUUGGUGAGGUAACGGCUUACCAAGGCCACGAUGCAUAGCCGACCUGAGAGGGUGAUCGGCCACACUGGGACUGAGACACGGCCCAGACUCCUACGGGAGGCAGCAGUAGGGAAUCUUCGGCAAUGGACGAAAGUCUGACCGAGCAACGCCGCGUGAGUGAAGAAGGUUUUCGGAUCGUAAAACUCUGUUGUUAGAGAAGAACAAGGGUGAGAGUAGAAUGUUCACCCCUUGACGGUAUCUAACCAGAAAGCCACGGCUAACUACGUGCCAGCAGCCGCGGUAAUACGUAGGUGGCAAGCGUUGUCCGGAUUUAUUGGGCGUAAAGCGAGUGCAAGGCG
Molecule: ribosomal RNA, 574 nt
Filed under: uncultured bacterium
Lineage: Bacteria
Description: bacterial SSU rRNA
Rfam family: Bacterial small subunit ribosomal RNA
Source: RNAcentral